This is a non-coding RNA of Malus domestica (apple), 498 nucleotides long. NCBI's taxonomy places the organism in Eukaryota, Viridiplantae, Streptophyta, Magnoliopsida, Rosales, Rosaceae. The record is from RefSeq and is a predicted model, not a curated record.
GUUUCUUUUUCUCUUCGUGCAGAAGCAGCAGCAAAGCUGCUGUUCUUGUUUUUUCCUCUCCUUUGCCCUCCUAACCUCCAACCAUCAUAUCUUUUUCAUUCGGACAACGAUUUCGACUAAUCUUAUAUCAAAAUUCAUGCCGUAGUCGCGCCCAAACACUUUUGUCACCUUUGAAUCUCUGAACAACCACUGCACCAGGCAGAUUGAAGGCGAGGAAAUAAGUCACCUUCGCCGGAAAAUUCGAUUUUCUGGCCAAACCGACGGGAAAAUGGGUCUCGGACCAACAGAUAAAGUUGAUCCUCUCCUCACGGGAUUUCUACCUAUACUCGAUUUGUUGACUGGACGAGGAAUCGAAGCUCAGCUGCAAGUUAGGACAUGAAUACGGACGAUUUGGGUAAAAUACUAAAAACCCUAAACCCUUUUAUUUUGGGUUUAAGAACUAGGUUUAGUAAAUGGUGUACUUUGCUGUGUUGUUGUGAAAUUAAGUAAUUCUUAGAA